This 231-nucleotide long non-coding RNA is filed under the name Brassica napus (rape). RNAcentral's name for it is "long non-coding RNA (BNAP_LNC005015)". The record is from RNAcentral. Lineage: Eukaryota; Viridiplantae; Streptophyta; Magnoliopsida; Brassicales; Brassicaceae.
CAUAAUAAUGAAGUUUGGUUAGGUUCCGGUCAGGUCAAAUGUCUUGUCUUUUCUUCUUGGCAUGUGUCGGAGAAAUUGAUUACUGUUCGCUAUUGUAAAUUUUGGCGAUUUUGUAGAGCGCUAGGUAAGGGAACAUGCUUCGUGUCAUUAAGUUUUGAUACUGCAGUUCUGUAUUGGUUUAGUAUUGCCAAAACAAGGAUCGUCAUAUAGAGCUCCAGAAUAACAUGGAUA